RNAcentral lists this ribosomal RNA (497 nucleotides) under uncultured bacterium. Its description in RNAcentral is "partial 16S ribosomal RNA". It matches the Rfam family "Bacterial small subunit ribosomal RNA", at positions 28 to 507 of the family's 1533-position model. The record is from RNAcentral.
GACGAACGCUGGCGGCGUGCCUAAUACAUGCAAGUUGAGCGCUGAAGGUUGGUACUUGUACCAACUGGAUGAGCAGCGAACGGGUGAGUAACGCGUGGGGAAUCUGCCUUUGAGCGGGGGACAACAUUUGGAAACGAAUGCUAAUACCGCAUAAAAACUUUAAACACAAGUUUUAAGUUUGAAAGAUGCAAUUGCAUCACUCAAAGAUGAUCCCGCGUUGUAUUAGCUAGUUGGUGAGGUAAAGGCUCACCAAGGCGAUGAUACGUAACCGACCUGAGAGGGUGAUCGGCCACAUUGGGACUGGGACACGGCCCAAACUUCUACGGGGGGCAGCAGUAGGGAAUCUUCGGCAAUGGACGAAAGUCUGACCGAGCAACGCCGCGUGAGUGAAGAAGGUUUUCGGAUCGUAAAACUCUGUUGGUAGAGAAGAACGUUGGUGAGAGUGGAAAGCUCAUCAAGUGACGGUAACUACCCAGAAAGGGACGGCUAACUACGUG